CCUACGGGGGGCUGCAGUGGGGAAUAUUGGACAAUGGGGGCAACCCUGAUCCAGCCAUGCCGCGUGUGUGAAGAAGGCCCUCGGGUUGUAAAGCACUUUCAGUGAGGAAGAACGCCUGGUGGUUAAUACCCAUCAGGAAAGACAUCACUCACAGAAGAAGCACCGGCUAACUCCGUGCCAGCAGCCGCGGUAAUACGGAGGGUGCGAGCGUUAAUCGGAAUUACUGGGCGUAAAGCGCGCGUAGGUGGCUUGAUAAGCCGGUUGUGAAAGCCCCGGGCUCAACCUGGGAACGGCAUCCGGAACUGUCAAGCUAGAGUGCAGGAGAGGAAGGUAGGAUUCCCGGUGUAGCGGUGAAAUGCGUAGAGGUCGGGAGGAAUACCAGUGGCGAAGGCGGCCUUCUGGACUGACACUGACACUGAGGUGCGAAAGCGUGGGUAGCAAACAGGAUUAGAUACCCGUGUAGUC
RNAcentral lists this ribosomal RNA (465 nucleotides) under Vreelandella stevensii. RNAcentral's name for it is "partial 16S ribosomal RNA". It matches the Rfam family "Bacterial small subunit ribosomal RNA", at positions 338 to 795 of the family's 1533-position model. The record is from RNAcentral. Lineage: Bacteria; Pseudomonadati; Pseudomonadota; Gammaproteobacteria; Oceanospirillales; Halomonadaceae.